CGGGACGUAGCGCAGGGGUAGCGCACUACUCUGGGGGAGUAGGGGUCGCUGGUUCAAAUCCAGUCGUCCCGACCA
RNAcentral lists this transfer RNA (75 nucleotides) under Halobacteriovorax marinus. RNAcentral's name for it is "tRNA-Pro". It matches the Rfam family "tRNA". From Rfam's summary of the family: Transfer RNA (tRNA) molecules are approximately 80 nucleotides in length. Their secondary structure includes four short double-helical elements and three loops (D, anti-codon, and T loops). Further hydrogen bonds mediate the characteristic L-shaped molecular structure. tRNAs have two regions of fundamental functional importance: the anti-codon, which is responsible for specific mRNA codon recognition, and the 3' end, to which the tRNAs corresponding amino acid is attached (by aminoacyl-tRNA synthetases). tRNAs cope with the degeneracy of the genetic code in two manners: having more than one tRNA (with a specific anti-codon) for a particular amino acid; and 'wobble' base-pairing, i.e. permitting non-standard base-pairing at the 3rd anti-codon position. RNAcentral also lists the same sequence under 1 other name. The record is from RNAcentral. Lineage: Bacteria; Pseudomonadati; Bdellovibrionota; Bacteriovoracia; Bacteriovoracales; Halobacteriovoraceae.